GACGAACGCUGGCGGCGUGCUUAACACAUGCAAGUCGAGCGGUAAGGCCCUUCGGGGUACACGAGCGGCGAACGGGUGAGUAACACGUGGGUGACCUGCCCUCCACUCUGGGAUAAGCCUGGGAAACCGGGUCUAAUACCGGAUAGGACUCCUGGAUGCAUGUCUAGGGGUGGAAAGUUUUUUCGGUGGGGAUGGGCCCGCGGUCUAUCAGCUUGUUGGUGGGGUGAUGGCCUACCAAGGCGACGACGGAUAGCCGGCCUGAGAGGGUGAUCGGCCACACUGGGACUGAGACACGGCCCAGACUCCUACGGGAGGCAGCAGUGGGGAAUCUUGCGCAAUGGGGCGGAAGCCUGACGCAGCAACGCCGCGUGGGGGAUGACGGCC
Molecule: ribosomal RNA, 384 nt
Filed under: uncultured bacterium
Lineage: Bacteria
Description: bacterial SSU rRNA
Rfam family: Bacterial small subunit ribosomal RNA
Source: RNAcentral